Molecule: ribosomal RNA, 1989 nt
Filed under: Triticum aestivum (bread wheat)
Lineage: Eukaryota; Viridiplantae; Streptophyta; Magnoliopsida; Poales; Poaceae
Description: partial small subunit ribosomal RNA
Source: RNAcentral
AUGGUUGUUUUGGUAACUCUAUUGUUUUCCCCUCUUUGUCCCCAACAUUCUUCCCAAGAUCCCCUCCCCUUCCCCUCCCCGACCCCCAACCACGGCAAGCCGCCGAAUUUAGUCCUCCACCGCAGCGGUGGACCUCACACCCCGCCGGAUCUACCUUCCGCACCUUGGAACCCCCAACUGCCAACUCACCAGUUCACCGGAGCCGCUUCAGCGACUGGCUUGUCUACCGCUUCAGAUCUCCUUGACCGCCAUCAUGGUCCACCGCACCGGAUCUGCUUAACCGGCACCCUCGUCCACCACAGUGUAGGCCAUUCACUGACUCCCUCGUUCGCCCCUUCGCUGGCCCUUCGUACAAGCCCUUGUCCGUCGCAACAGAUCCACCUCACCGAAAGCACUGUACAACGCGCCCGCCGAAGCCUUCGUCCACAGCACCGGACCCGCUCCACAGACGCCAUAUUCAACUCCACCGGCCUUGCUUUACCGAUGCCGCAGCCUCAUCAGAGGGUGCAGAAUAAACUACAACAACUAGAUUUGCAACCACGGGAUGCUGAUGAUAUCUUCAAAGAACAUUGCAACAGCAGCGAGGCUUCACAACAACAUAUGCUUGCCAUGCUCGGCAAUAAUUCGUCUAUCGUUUACCAUGAUGCCGUUCACACUAGGACACAAUGUACAACCCCAGAAUCUAUUUGUGGAAGCAGUGCACCAUCCAUGUUACUAGAUGGUAGCAGUUCAGAGGCAACACCGCCAGAGAGCAGUCUGAGCACAGAUAUUAUAGUGCUUGAGGCUCUACUCGAGGCAGAAAGAGAUGGUGUGGCUGCCAUGAAUGAGGUAAUCUUUAUCUUGAGGCUGGAAAUUACGGAAUUAGUGGCACGCAUUAUGCAAGCAACCCAAGAAUUGGAGGAAGUAAGAAUGUUGCAUUUGAAGACAGAGGAUGUCCUGCUGUUUCUACUAUCUGAAGCCCAGGAUGGCGUGGAUCCGGUGCUUGCCUCUUCUCCGAAUCCACUAAAUCUUACGCGGCGGCCACCACGGCGACCGCAGCGCCAGCUCCUGCCGCGGGGACCUCGCUAUUCCAGGUCGCGGCCUCGCGGGGCCGCUGCACCCGCGCCUCCGGGCCAGGCACCGGCGCGACCCUCUCCUUCACCCCCGCCGCCGCCGCCGCAACUCCGACGCCUCCUUCCACCACCUCCUCUUUGUCGCAAGGGUAAUUCAAGGGUUCCUUCCUCGCGCUGCUCCCAUUUCAAUCUGCCAUUAAUUCCUUCCCGACUGAAAGAUGGAUCCAAAAACUUAACUUUUCCCCCCUCACCUCCUCUCCUCGAGCGUGCAUGCAGGAGGGCCGCCGCCGCCGGCCAGCGGAAGGAGGAGCACAGGCUGGACUGGUGCCACUUCCACCUGCACAACCACACCCAGACCACCGCCGGCAGCAGCAGCGGCCACGCAUGCGUGGUGUCCUGCGGCGCGGCCGCCUCCAAGGACCACCUCUUCAAGGGGUCGCAGGAGCAGUCGGGCCUGGUCACCAUCGCCAUGGAGGUGGUGCACUGUGAGGAAAUCAAGGGCAUGUGGAAGAGAGAGGAGUUCCAUGGAGAAGAUGCUCUGCUCCACCUCCAACCCACCCUGCCUACUACUACAGGAAUAGGAUGCCAUGGAAGGUCUGGCAGCACCGCCGCGUCGACGGCGAAGGUGGUGACUGUGGCGGCGCGAGUUGGUGGCUGCGGGACUCAACAACACGGCUCAUAUAUGUGCUUCCGACUAAUCCAGCUUCUUUUGGGCUUCCUAGUCCGUGGCCUGCCUUCUGGAUGGAGCAAGGAGGGGGCAUCAUCCACACCGCAGAGCUGGUUGAGCCUUAGUGCGAACUGGAUAAGCAGGGCAUCGUCGGGGACAUCUCUCGCUUGUGCCAUGAACAGUUUGCUUGGUCGCCUGAUGCUUGAUGCAUAUUUUGGCCUCAAUUCGUCAAAAGUUCCUGUACAAGGAACUACAGGAGAAGACUCCUAA